RNAcentral lists this ribosomal RNA (449 nucleotides) under uncultured soil bacterium. RNAcentral describes it as "bacterial SSU rRNA". It matches the Rfam family "Bacterial small subunit ribosomal RNA", at positions 26 to 470 of the family's 1533-position model. The record is from RNAcentral.
AGGACGAACGCUGGCGGCGUGCUUAACACAUGCAAGUGGAGCGACGAACCGGGGCUUGCCCCGGGGCAGAGCCGCGAACGGGUGAGUAACACGUGGGUAACCCACCCCGAUGACCGGGACAACCCGAGGGAACUCGGGCUAAUACCGGAUGUGCUGGCCGAUCAUCAGAUCAGUCAGCAAAGAUAGCUUCGGCCUUCGCAUCGGGACGGGCCCGCGGCCCAUUAGCUUGUUGGUGGGGUAACGCCUACCAAGGCAACGAUGGGUAGCUGGUCUGAGAGGACGAUCAGCCACACUGGGACUGAGACACGGCCCAGACUCCUACGGGAGGCAGCAGUGGGGAAUCUUGCACAUGCGCGAAAGCGUGAUGCAGCAACGCCGCGGUGGGGAAGACGGCCUUCGGGUUACGUAACCCCUUCGAGUUGGACGACGUCGUUACGCCGGUUAAUACG